This 253-nucleotide ribosomal RNA is filed under the name uncultured bacterium. RNAcentral describes it as "partial 16S ribosomal RNA". It matches the Rfam family "Bacterial small subunit ribosomal RNA", at positions 524 to 776 of the family's 1533-position model. The record is from RNAcentral.
UACAGAGGGGGCAAGCGUCAUUCGGAAUUAUUGGGCGUAAAGGGCGCGUAGGCGGCCUGGCAAGUGGAAGGUGAAAUCCCUCGGCUUAACCGAGGAACUGCCCUCCAAACUGCUUGGCUUGAGUCCGGGAGAGGUGAGUGGAAUUCCCAGUGUAGCGGUGAAAUUCGUAGAUAUUCGCAAGAACACCAGUGGCGAAGGCGGCUCACUGGCCCGAUACUGACGCUGAGGCACGAAAGCGUGGGGAGCAAACAGG